GACGAACGCUGCGGCGUGCUAAUACAUGCAAGUCGAGCGAAGUUUUUCUGGUGCUUGCACUAGAAAAACUUAGCGGCGAACGGGUGAGUAACACGUAAGGAACCUGCCUCAUAGACUGGGACAACUAUUGGAAACGAUAGCUAAUACCGGAUAACAGUAUUUCUCGCAUGAGAGAUAUUUAAAAGUUGGUUAUGCUAACACUAUGAGAUGGCUUUGCGGUGCAUUAGCUAGUUGGUGGGGUAAAGGCCUACCAAGGCGACGAUGCAUAGCCGACCUGAGAGGGUGAUCGGCCACACUGGGACUGAGACACGGCCCAGACUCCUACGGGAGGCAGCAGUAGGGAAUCUUCCGCAAUGGGCGAAAGCCUGACGGAGCAACGCCGCGUGAGUGAAGAAGGAUUUCGGUUCGUAAAGCUCUGUUGUUAGGGAAGAAUGGAUAUGUAGUAACUAUACAUGUAAGAGACGGUACCUAACCAGAAGCCG
This 482-nucleotide ribosomal RNA is filed under the name Gemella morbillorum. Its description in RNAcentral is "bacterial SSU rRNA". It matches the Rfam family "Bacterial small subunit ribosomal RNA", at positions 28 to 493 of the family's 1533-position model. Lineage: Bacteria; Bacillati; Bacillota; Bacilli; Caryophanales; Gemellaceae. The record is from RNAcentral.